AGAUUGAACGCUGGCGGAAUGCCUUACACAUGCAAGUCGAAUGGCAGCACGGGAGCAAUCCUGGUGGCGAGUGGCGAACGGGUGAGUAAUACAUCGGAACGUGCCCAAUCGUGGGGGAUAACGUAGCGAAAGCUACGCUAAUACCGCAUACGAUCUACGGAUGAAAGCAGGGGAUCGCAAGACCUUGCGCGAAUGGAGCGGCCGAUGGCAGAUUAGGUAGUUGGUGAGGUAAGGCUCACCAAGCCUUCGAUCUGUAGCUGGUCUGAGAGGACGACCAGCCACACUGGGACUGAGACACGGCCCAGACUCCUACGGGAGCAGCAGGUGGGGAAUUUUGGACAAGUGGGCG
RNAcentral lists this ribosomal RNA (349 nucleotides) under uncultured soil bacterium. RNAcentral's name for it is "bacterial SSU rRNA". It matches the Rfam family "Bacterial small subunit ribosomal RNA", at positions 26 to 377 of the family's 1533-position model. The record is from RNAcentral.